Molecule: long non-coding RNA, 1728 nt
Filed under: Mus musculus (house mouse)
Lineage: Eukaryota; Metazoa; Chordata; Mammalia; Rodentia; Muridae
Description: long non-coding RNA chr1:133138052-133139780
Source: RNAcentral
UUUUCUUUUUUUAAAGACAUGGUCUUAUAUAGUCUAGGCUGGCCUUAAACUCAUUACUUAGCCAAGGAUGGCUUUGAAAGAUCCUCCUGUCCUCUUGUUUGGCUUGCACAUGGCAUGUGCCAUACAUCCAGAUUUUUCUCUGUAUCUAGGUCUUUUUAAGAUAUUUCCAAGGACUGCCCACAAAUCCACAGUGCAGUACUUUCUUGACUGGGAAAGCGGGGUUGGUGUGCUUUUCAAAGGCACACACCAUUAUGCCCAGCUGGUCUGCCAAACUUAACAUAUUUGGUUUCUGUGCAAACUGUCCAUUUGGAAGGUUUCUGUGUGUUGUAGUUUCAGUUGAAUGUGGCUCUCUGUAGCUUUCAAGAAUGGGUAGAAAUCAUAAAGCACUCUUAAGUAAUCAUUGCAUUGUAGACAUUUUUUUUUUUAACUAGGGGGUAUUUGGGAGACAUGUCAGAUAUUCACUUUUGUUUUAUGUGUCUUAAAACCAGUGUUACUUACACCCUGCCUCAGCACUGGCACUUUUCAAACCUGUCUUGGAGACACUGUAAACUUGGAUGGUGCAGUUCUGGGUUUUCAUGUGUAAAAUGUCAACUACAAAGGUCAAUAUCCAGGUUUGUUGUGUUCUACCUUAUGUAGAGAGAAGCAAAGCAGAAAGGGCAGAUAGAGCAGCCAGAAAGUGCUAGUGUCCCCCCCCAAAGCGUGCUUCUAGAUAGUGUGUGGAUCAGGUGUGCUUGGUUUGUUCAGUUAGCGUCACCUGUUGUGCAUGGUUGAGGUAAUGUGUUACCAGUUCUUUAGUGGUUACAUGCACAAAAGAGAGGACCUCUGAGUCGGGUGUGGGAUGAGCUUUCCAGACCUGGCAGGGUAAACUACCUCAGUUUAUAAUCUCCCUGGUUAUUUCCGUUUGAUGUGAUCUAAGGUCUGCCUCAGUGGUGAUGAUGUUCAUCCACACACAAGGUUAGUAAGAGUGCACGACCAGAAACGUUGGUCUUAUUUUUGAGAACCCCCAUUUCUGUGUAUUUUAUGCACCUGCCUUUAGUGAACUCCAGAGUGCAUUAAAGAGUCUGGUUUAGUGCCGUGGGAAUGGGCUAGUUUAGAAGCUAUGUUUGGAAAGCAGGCAAGUUGACUUUAGGAAGAAAAGCUGUGACAGUGUGUAGACAUUUCUUUUAAACCGGACUGCAGCUUAACAACACUUGAUUUCAGAUGAUUAGGUUUUUGUUUCUGAGACCCAGCACCUGUAUAUUUAAAAAUUGUUCCAGAUUACACCUUCACUAUCAAAUGAGUAAAUGACUCAUGCCUGCAGACAUGUCCUGAUGGUGGCAAGAACAGAAGGAUCUUUGACUGAAGGAGAAAAACUGUCAUUGUCAUCCCAGCCCCCAGGAAAGAACACCUCCAAGGCAGGCAGGCAGGCAGGCAGGCAUGGUGGUUCUAGUUGAAUACACAUUCAAGUCUUGCAGUGGUGCUUUAGAUCUGUGUAGCAUGUGAGGCUCUGUACAGGUGGGGGCCACACUUCUGAGGGCUGAAAUGUGGCAACCCUUUAUCUAACUUGAAAUCAAAACCGUCAAAUUUUAUUUUUUAUAAUUUAAGAAAGAGUUGGGGAAUGACAUUUUUUGAGUUGGCCUUUUCAGCUCAGUCAUUUUACGUGUAACGUGGAGAUUUGAUAGCUCAGAUUAUAUUUGUAUAUAAUUAUUAACUAAUCUGUAAAUUGUAAUAAAUAUAUUUGCAAUUAUU